RNAcentral lists this ribosomal RNA (1228 nucleotides) under uncultured bacterium. Its description in RNAcentral is "partial 16S ribosomal RNA". It matches the Rfam family "Bacterial small subunit ribosomal RNA", at positions 231 to 1475 of the family's 1533-position model. The record is from RNAcentral.
GCGCAUCUAUCAUAGUUAUUGUGGGCGGAACGCCCACACAGCUUAGAUCAAGUAACUGCUGUGAAGAGCCAGACCAUUCACCCGGCAUGAGGCCCGCGGCCCCGACUCUUACGGUAAGCAGCAGUAAGGAAAUAUGGUCAAUGACCGCAAGUCGAACAGGCAUGCCCGCGUGGACGACGUAGCCCUCUGGCUGUAACCUCUUUAUUCUGGAAGAAACCCAUCUUUCUAAAGUGUGACGGUACCAGUUGAAUAAGCACCGGCUAACUCCGUGCCAGCAGCCGCGGUAAUACGGAGGGUGCAAGCGUAUCCCGGAUUCACUGGGUUUAAAGGGUGCGUAGACGGGUUGGUAAGUCAGUGGUGAAAUCUUCAAGCUUAACUUGGAAACUGCCGUUGAUACUAUCAAUCUUGAAUAUUGUGGAGGUAAGCGGAAUAUGUCAUGUAGCGGUGAAAUGCUUAGAUAUGACAUAGAACACCGAUAGCGAAGGCAGCUUGCUACACAAUAAUUGACGCUGAGGCACGAAAGCGUGGGGAUCAAACAGGAUUAGAUACCCUGGUAGUCCACGCCCUAAACGAUGGAUACUCGACAUACGCGAUACACAGUGUGUGUCUGAGCGAAAGCAUUAAGUAUCCCACCUGGGAAGUACGACCGCAAGGUUGAAACUCAAAGGAAUUGGCGGGGGUCCGCACAAGCGGUGGAGCAUGUGGUUUAAUUCGAUGAUACGCGAGGAACCUUACCUGGGCUAGAAUGCAGAUUGACCGUGGGUGAAAGCUCAUUUUGUAGCAAUACACAGUCUGUAAGGUGCUGCAUGGCUGUCGUCAGCUCGUGCCGUGAGGUGUUGGGUUAAGUCCCGCAACGAGCGCAACCCCCAUCAUUAGUUGCCAUCAGGUAAAGCUGGGAACUCUAAUGAAACUGCCGUCGUAAGACGCGAGGAAGGAGGGGAUGAUGUCAAGUCAUCAUGGCCUUUAUGCCCAGGGCUACACACGUGCUACAAUGGAAGGGACAAAGAGCUGCCACUUGGCGACAAGGCGCUAAUCUCAAAAACCCUUUCUCAGUUCAGAUCGCAGUCUGCAACUCGACUGCGUGAAGCUGGAAUCGCUAGUAAUCGUAUAUCAGCAAUGAUACGGUGAAUACGUUCCCGGACCUUGCACACACCGCCCGUCAAGCCAUGGAAGCUGGGUGUACCUAAAGUCGGUAACCGCAAGGAGCCGCCUAGGUAAUCAUGAUUAA